Long non-coding RNA from Oncorhynchus tshawytscha (Chinook salmon), 311 nucleotides. Lineage: Eukaryota; Metazoa; Chordata; Actinopteri; Salmoniformes; Salmonidae. The record is from Ensembl.
UAUACUGCUCCUACAUGGUGUAACAAUACAUCAUAUAGAUGUAUAUAAUGACCAGACUAGGUCUAUACUGCUCCUACAUGGUGUAACAAUACAUCAUAUAGAUGUAUAUAAUGAACAGACUAGGUCUAUACUGCUCCUACAUGGUGUAACAAUACAUCAUGUAGAUGUAUAUAAUGACCAGACUAGGUCUAUACUGCUCCUACAUGGUGUAACAUCAUGUAGAUGUAUAUAAUGAACAGACUAGGUCUAUACUGCUCCUACAUGGUGUAACAUCAUGUAGAUGUAUAUAAUGACCAGACUAGGUCUAUACU